CCUCCAACCGAAAUAAGCGGGCGAGGCAAAAGAAAUAAGCGGGUUAUAAAUAGGGGGAUACCACACUCUGCGGGGGAGGACGAGAGGACAGGUUCGAUUUAGCCGUCGGCGAUCCGAGGAAUGUACAGCGUCGAGUCUGCUAGCUCUUCCUCUUAACUCUUCCUAUCUAGUCCACCGCUGACACUCCCUGUCUCUUCCGGACUUUUGUACCACCGCCGACCCAGCUGCCCUCUCUCUUCCCCGCACGACACCGCCGGAGGUCCGCGGGCUUAGAGGGAAUAAGCGAGGAGGUCCAGUGACGGCACAGCGGAUGGCAGAGGGAGCCUGUCCACUCAAGUGGCAGCUACUACGGAGGAGGUUGGUGCACACCAUGGGCACCAGGACCAGUUCCAUUAGUAGUUAAGAUAGUUAAGAUAACCGCGGUCAAGGAAGCGAAUGGGAGUGACAAUCGGGGUCCAAGCAACGUUUGAAGGUUGUCUAUUACCGCUCCUCUGCGUUAAGGGAUCGUCGUUAAAAGAAAAUCUCCAUAUACAUAAUCAAGACAUACUCAAAGAAAUAAAAAAUUAUUUACUUACCCUUGCGGUAGUUGUUUCAUCGUAUUUUAGAAUAUCCAAAACGGUCAGGUUCACGUUAGGUACGUCAAGUGUUAGGAAUCUACUGUCAUCUUUAUUUUAAUAAUGCAUAAAGUCAGACUACAAGACACGUUAAGUUGCUCGAAUUAAUCUACACAUCAACUACACAAUAAUUAACUAGGUUGAUGGUUUACGAUGAGAUACUUUAAUCAACACAAAAUCGCGGUAACAUUAUCGCUUGUAUCAGACGAUACAUUAUACUUCUGAGGUAGUUGAGAAACAGUAAAGAAAAUAAGAGUACGCGGGUCUGGACGACUACUAAACGCACCCCUACAACAACCGGUACACACAAUCCCAGUGUCGAGUACCCUCUCUACAGUCUCGAGUCAGUCAAUAUAUCCCCUGAUGUAGCUCCAGCUCCAUGUGUACAUGACUUGCAAGUAGGACACAUCAACAGCAUCGUACUGGUCCAUAUCAUCCCUUCAUGGCUUCAUCGUAAACAUUACCCGCGUUCGUUUAUAACGAAAUGAUGUCUUCGUCGUUUUUGAAUCGCAUACAACCGUCGGUGGUGUUGUACAGUUCGCUAUCGUACUCGUUUAGCCUCUUGCUCAUCAACACCUGACCCUCCUACUAAAGAAAAACAUGUAAAAAACAAUCAUAAAAUAAUGUACUAUCAUCAAGUAACCACGUUU
RNAcentral lists this ribosomal RNA (1264 nucleotides) under Triticum aestivum (bread wheat). RNAcentral describes it as "partial small subunit ribosomal RNA". Lineage: Eukaryota; Viridiplantae; Streptophyta; Magnoliopsida; Poales; Poaceae. The record is from RNAcentral.